GAUGAACGCUAGCGGCAGGCUUAACACAUGCAAGUCGAGGGGCAGCACGUCUUCGGAUGGUGGCGACCGGCGCACGGGUGCGUAACGCGUAUAGAACCUACCUUUUACAGGGGAAUAGCCCAGAGAAAUUUGGAUUAAUGCCCCAUAGUAUUAUAGUAUGGCAUCAUAUUAUAAUUAAACAUUUAUGGGUAAAAGAUGGCUAUGCGUUCUAUUAGCUAGUAGGUAAGGUAACGGCUUACCUAGGCAACGAUAGAUAGGGGUCCUGAGAGGGAGAUCCCCCACACUGGUACUGAGACACGGACCAGACUCCUACGGGAGGCAGCAGUGAGGAAUAUUGGACAAUGGGCGAGAGCCUGAUCCAGCCAUGCCGCGUGCAGGAAGACGGCCCUAUGGGUUGUAAACUGCUUUUUGUACGGGAAGAAACACCCCCUCGUGAGGGGGCUUGACGGUACCGUAAGAAUAAGGAUCGGCUAACUCCGUG
This 481-nucleotide ribosomal RNA is filed under the name uncultured bacterium. Its description in RNAcentral is "bacterial SSU rRNA". It matches the Rfam family "Bacterial small subunit ribosomal RNA", at positions 28 to 507 of the family's 1533-position model. The record is from RNAcentral.